This 274-nucleotide ribosomal RNA is filed under the name uncultured bacterium. RNAcentral's name for it is "partial 16S ribosomal RNA". It matches the Rfam family "Bacterial small subunit ribosomal RNA", at positions 523 to 796 of the family's 1533-position model. The record is from RNAcentral.
AUACGGAGGGUGCAAGCGUUAAUCGGAAUUACUGGGCGUAAAGCGCGCGUAGGCGGUUUGAUAAGUCGGAUGAGAAAUCCCCGGGCUCAACCUGGGAAUUGCAUUCGAUACUGUCAGGCUUGAGUGUGGUAGAGGGAAGUGGAAUUUCCGGUGUAGCGGUGAAAUGCGUAGAUAUCGGAAGGAACACCAGUGGCGAAGGCGGCUUCCUGGACCAACACUGACGCUGAGGUGCGAAAGCGUGGGGAGCAAACAGGAUUAGAUACCCUAGUAGUCC